Molecule: ribosomal RNA, 471 nt
Filed under: uncultured bacterium
Lineage: Bacteria
Description: bacterial SSU rRNA
Rfam family: Bacterial small subunit ribosomal RNA
Source: RNAcentral
CCAGACUCCUACGGGAGGCAGCAGUGGGGAAUAUUGCACAAUGGGCGCAAGCCUGAUGCAGCCAUGCCGCGUGUAUGAAGAAGGCCUUCGGGUUGUAAAGUACUUUCAGUCGGGAGGAAGGUGGUAAGGUUAAUAACCUUAUCAAUUGACGUUACCGACAGAAGAAGCACCGGCUAACUCCGUGCCAGCAGCCGCGGUAAUACGGAGGGUGCAAGCGCUAAUCGGAAUUACUGGGCGUAAAGCGCACGCAGGCGGUCUGUCAAGUCGGAUGUGAAAUCCCCGGGCUCAACCUGGGAACUGCAUUCGAAACUGGCAGGCUGGAGUCUUGUAGAGGGGGGUAGAAUUCCAGGUGUAGCGGUGAAAUGCGUAGAGAUCUGGAGGAAUACCGGUGGCGAAGGCGGCCCCCUGGACAAAGACUGACGCUCAGGUGCGAAAGCGUGGGGAGCAAACAGGAUUAGAUACCCCGGUAAG